Molecule: ribosomal RNA, 372 nt
Filed under: uncultured bacterium
Lineage: Bacteria
Description: bacterial SSU rRNA
Rfam family: Bacterial small subunit ribosomal RNA
Source: RNAcentral
AUACGUAGGGGGCGAGCGUUGUCCGGAAUGACUGGGCGUAAAGGGUACGUAGGCGGCCAGAUAAGUCAGAUGUGAAAGGCAUGGGCUCAACCCAUGUAAGCAUUUGAAACUGUUUGGCUUGAGUUAAGGAGAGGAAAGUGGAAUUCCUGGUGUAGCGGUGAAAUGCGUAGAUAUCAGGAGGAAUAUCAGUGGCGAAGGCGACUUUCUGGACUUAUACUGACGCUGAGGUACGAAAGCGUGGGGAGCAAACAGGAUUAGAUACCCUGGUAGUCCACGCCGUAAACGAUGAGUGCUAGGUGUCGGGGGUCAAACCUCGGUGCCGGAGUUAACACAUUAAGCACUCCGCCUGGGGAGUACGUUCGCAAGAAUGAA